RNAcentral lists this ribosomal RNA (382 nucleotides) under uncultured eukaryote. Its description in RNAcentral is "partial 18S ribosomal RNA". It matches the Rfam family "Eukaryotic small subunit ribosomal RNA", at positions 592 to 976 of the family's 1831-position model. The record is from RNAcentral.
UGUAAGCGUAUACCAAAGUUGUUGCAGUUAAAACGCUCGUAGUCGGAAUUUGGCAGUUCCGGAUGUGUGCACGUCGUGUGCGCACUUCGCGGGGAUUGCUUUUGUGGUCUUGCGUAGGAUGAGGCACUUUUAUUAGUGAACGUCCUCACGCAACCACUUUUUACUGUGAGAAAAUCAGAGUGCUCAAAGCAGGCAUUUGCCGUGAAUGUAUUAGCAUGGAAUAAUAGAAUAGGACUUGGUUCUAUUUUGUUGGUUUGUUGGGACUGAGUAAUGAUUAAGAGGGACAGUUGGGGGCCUUUGUAUUUCGGUGCUAGAGGUGAAAUUCUUAGAUUACCGAAAGACAAACUGCUGCGAAAGCGUCUGCCAAGGAUGUUUUCAUUGA